This 387-nucleotide unclassified non-coding RNA is filed under the name soil metagenome. RNAcentral's name for it is "partial contains 5.8S ribosomal RNA, internal transcribed spacer 2, and large subunit ribosomal RNA". The stretch from base 1 to 120 matches the Rfam family "5.8S ribosomal RNA", at positions 35 to 154 of the family's 154-position model. The record is from RNAcentral.
GAUGAAGAACGUAGCGAAAUGCGAUAAGUAAUGUGAAUUGCAGAAUUCAGUGAAUCAUCGAAUCUUUGAACGCACCUUGCACCCUUUGGUAUUCCGAAGGGUAUGCUCGUUUGAGUGUCAUUGUACUCUCACACUUCUAAUUCCUUUCGGGAUUGGGAGCGGUGGACUUGGGUGUUGCUGCUUUAGUUGUGGCUCACCUCAAAUAAGUUAGUGCAACUCUUGGUUGGACAUAGUACGGCGUGAUAAGUGUCUUCGCCGGCGCCUCUGUAAGGAGGGUGGCCGAUCGGGAGCUCUGUGCUUCAAACCGUCUUCGGACAAUCUUUGACAACUUGACCUCAAAUCGAGCAGGACUACCCGCUGAACUUAAGCAUAUCAAUAAGCGGAGGA